UGGUAAUGAGAUGGUCAUUUGAUUUUACAGUUGAGUCUUAGGAUCAGGAUUUUUGUUUUAUUUUCGUUUAAGAUUAUUGUGGUUUUUUUUGUAACUUCUGAGCAUGGAUAUUUUUUUAGACAGUUAUAAGAAAUGAGAUUUCUCAAUGGUGUUGGCUAUUGUCUAUGAAGAUUAUGUAUUUAAUUACUAUCAAGGAAGUGGACUUUUGUUUGUUAUGUCUUAGUUUUUU
Molecule: long non-coding RNA, 229 nt
Filed under: Lupinus angustifolius (narrow-leaved blue lupine)
Lineage: Eukaryota; Viridiplantae; Streptophyta; Magnoliopsida; Fabales; Fabaceae
Description: long non-coding RNA (LANG_LNC003613)
Source: RNAcentral